GAUUGAGGUAGUGGCAGUGCUAGCGGCAGUGGUGAUGUGGUGGUGGUGGUGUGUGUACUAGUGCAGUGGUGAUGUGGUGAUGGUGUGUGUACUAGUGCAGUGGUGAUGUGAUGGUGUGUGUACUAGUGCAGUGGUGAUGUGGUGAUGGUGUGUGUGUGCUAGUGCAGUGGUGAUGUGGUGGUGAUGGUGUGUGUACUAGUGCAGUGGUGAUGUGAUGGUGUGUGUACUAGUGCAGUGGUGAUGUGGUGAUGGUGUGUGUGUGCUAGUGCAGUGGUGAUGUGGUGGUGAUGGUGUGUGUGCUAGUGCAGUGGUGAUGUGGUGGUGGUGUGUGUACUGGUGCAGUGGUGAUGUGGUGGUGGUGGUGUGUGUACUAGUGCAGUGGUGAUGUGGUGAUGGUGGUGUGUGUGCUAGUGCAGUGGUGAUGUGGUGAUGGUGUGUGUAUUAGUGCAGUGGUGAUGUGGUGAUGGUGUGUGUGUGCUAGUGCAGUGGUGAUGUGGUGGUGAUGGUGUGUGUACUAGUGCAGUGGUGAUGUGAUGGUGUGUGUACUAGUGCAGUGGUGAUGUGGUGAUGGUGUGUGUGUGCUAGUGCAGUGGUGAUGUGGUGAUGGUGUGUGUGCUAGUGCAGUGGUGAUGUGGUGGUGGUGUGUGUACUGGUGCAGUGGUGAUGUGGUGGUGGUGGUGUGUGUACUAGUGCAGUGGUGAUGUGGUGAUGGUGGUGUGUGUGCUAGUGCAGUGGUGAUGUGGUGAUGGUGUGUGUAUUAGUGCAGUGGUGAUGUGGUGAUGGUGGUGUGUGUACUAGUGCAGUGGUGAUGUGGUGGUGAUGGUGUGUGUACUAGUGCAGUGGUGAUGUGGUGGUGAUGGUGUGUGUACUGGUGCAGUGGUGAUGUGGUGGUGAUGGUGUGUGUACUAGUGCAGUGGUGAUGUGGUGAUGGUGUGUGUACUAGUGCAGUGGUGAUGUGGUGAUGGUGGUGUGUGUGCUAGUGCAGUGGUGAUGUGGUGAUGGUGUGUGUAUUAGUGCAGUGGUGAUGUGGUGGUGGUGGUGUGUGUGCUAGUGCAGUGGUGAUGUGAUGAUGGUGGUGUGUGUGCUAGUGCAGUGGUGAUGUGGUGGUGGUGAUGUGUGUGCUUGUGGUAUUGGUGAUGUGGUGGUGGUGGU
RNAcentral lists this long non-coding RNA (1152 nucleotides) under Homo sapiens (human). RNAcentral's name for it is "HSALNT0324596". The record is from RNAcentral. Lineage: Eukaryota; Metazoa; Chordata; Mammalia; Primates; Hominidae.